UAUCCUGGCUCAGGAUGAACGCUGGCGGCGUGCUUAACACAUGCAAGUCGAACGGAGAUUGCUUUGACURAGACUUCGGUUGAAGUCGCUGCAAUCUUAGUGGCGGACGGGUGAGUAACGCGUGGGGAACCUGCCCUAUACCGGGGGAUAACAGUCGGAAACGGCUGCUAAUACCGCAUAAGCGCACAGCAUCGCAUGAUGCAGUGUGAA
This 210-nucleotide ribosomal RNA is filed under the name uncultured bacterium. RNAcentral's name for it is "partial 16S ribosomal RNA". It matches the Rfam family "Bacterial small subunit ribosomal RNA", at positions 15 to 203 of the family's 1533-position model. The record is from RNAcentral.